This 253-nucleotide ribosomal RNA is filed under the name uncultured bacterium. Its description in RNAcentral is "partial 16S ribosomal RNA". It matches the Rfam family "Bacterial small subunit ribosomal RNA", at positions 524 to 776 of the family's 1533-position model. The record is from RNAcentral.
UACGUAGGUGGCAAGCGUUGUCCGGAAUUAUUGGGCGUAAAGCGCGCGCAGGCGGUCCUUUAAGUCUAAUGUGAAAUCCCCGGGCUUAACCCGGGACGUGCAUUGGAAACUGCAGAUCUUGAAUGCUUGAGAGGGUGGUGGAAUUCCAGGAGUAGAAGUGAAAUUCGUAGAUAUCUGGAGGAACACCUGAGGCGAAGGCGGCCACCUGGCAAGACAUUGACGCUGAGGCGCGAAAGUACGGGGAGCAAACAGG